UACGGAGGGUGCGAGCGUUGUCCGGAAUCACUGGGCGUAAAGGGCGCGUAGGCGGCCCGAUAAGUAGGGGGUGAAAUCCUGCGGCUUAACCGCAGGGCUGCCUUCUAAACUGUCGGGCUAGAGCACGGUAGAGGCAGAUGGAAUUCCCGGUGUAGCGGUGGAAUGCGUAGAGAUCGGGAAGAACAUCAGUGGCGAAGGCGGUCUGCUGGGCCGUCGCUGACGCUGAUGCGCGACAGCGUGGGGAGCAAACAGG
Molecule: ribosomal RNA, 253 nt
Filed under: uncultured bacterium
Lineage: Bacteria
Description: partial 16S ribosomal RNA
Rfam family: Bacterial small subunit ribosomal RNA
Source: RNAcentral